RNAcentral lists this ribosomal RNA (1339 nucleotides) under uncultured bacterium. RNAcentral's name for it is "bacterial SSU rRNA". It matches the Rfam family "Bacterial small subunit ribosomal RNA", at positions 28 to 1381 of the family's 1533-position model. The record is from RNAcentral.
GACGAACGCUGGCGGCGUGCUUAACACAUGCAAGUCGAACGGAAAGGCCUCUGCUUGCAGGGGUACUCGAGUGGCGAACGGGUGAGUAACACGUGGGUGAUCUGCCUUGCACUCUGGGAUAAGCUUGGGAAACUGGGUCUAAUACCGGAUAGGAACCGUCUUUAGUGUGGUGGUUGGAAAGUUUUUCGGUGCAAGAUGAGCUCGCGGCCUAUCAGCUUGUUGGUGGGGUAAUGGCCUACCAAGGCGUCGACGGGUAGCCGGCCUGAGAGGGUGUACGGCCACAUUGGGACUGAGAUACGGCCCAGACUCCUACGGGAGGCAGCAGUGGGGAAUAUUGCACAAUGGGCGGAAGCCUGAUGCAGCGACGCCGCGUGGGGGAUGACGGCCUUCGGGUUGUAAACUCCUUUCGACAGGGACGAAGCUUUUUGUGACGGUACCUGUAUAAGAAGCACCGGCUAACUACGUGCCAGCAGCCGCGGUAAUACGUAGGGUGCGAGCGUUGUCCGGAAUUACUGGGCGUAAAGAGCUCGUAGGUGGUUUGUCGCGUCGUCUGUGAAAUUCCGGGGCUUAACUCCGGGCGUGCAGGCGAUACGGGCAUAACUUGAGUGCUGUAGGGGAGACUGGAAUUCCUGGUGUAGCGGUGAAAUGCGCAGAUAUCAGGAGGAACACCGAUGGCGAAGGCAGGUCUCUGGGCAGUUACUGACGCUGAGGAGCGAAAGCAUGGGUAGCGAACAGGAUUAGAUACCCUGGUAGUCCAUGCCGUAAACGGUGGGCGCUAGGUGUAGGGGGCUUCCACGUCUUCUGUGCCGUAGCUAACGCAUUAAGCGCCCCGCCUGGGGAGUACGGCCGCAAGGCUAAAACUCAAAGGAAUUGACGGGGGCCCGCACAAGCGGCGGAGCAUGUGGAUUAAUUCGAUGCAACGCGAAGAACCUUACCUGGGCUUGACAUACACCAGAUCGCUGCAGAGAUGUAGUUUCCCUUGUGGUUGGUGUACAGGUGGUGCAUGGUUGUCGUCAGCUCGUGUCGUGAGGUGUUGGGUUAAGUCCCGCAACGAGCGCAACCCUUGUCUUAUGUUGCCAGCAUUUGGUUGGGGACUCAUGAGAGACUGCCGGGGUUAACUCGGAGGAAGGUGGGGAUGACGUCAAAUCAUCAUGCCCCUUAUGUCCAGGGCUUCACACAUGCUACAAUGGUCGGUACAACGCGCAACGACACUGUGAGGUGGAGCGAAUCGCUGAAAGCCGGUCUUAGUUCGGAUUGGGGUCUGCAACUCGACCCCAUGAAGUCGGAGUCGCUAGUAAUCGUAGAUCAGCAAUGCUGCGGUGAAUACGUUCCCGGGCCU